Molecule: non-coding RNA, 704 nt
Organism: Kogia breviceps (pygmy sperm whale)
Lineage: Eukaryota; Metazoa; Chordata; Mammalia; Artiodactyla; Physeteridae
Source: RefSeq, a predicted model, not a curated record
GGUUUUAGUUGCAGCACGCGGGAUCUUCGUUGUGGCAUGCAGGAACUUUAGCUGCAGCAUGCUAACUCUUACUUGUGGCAGGCCCUCUGCCUCUUGAAGCCGGUGCUUCCCCGUGUGACUCCCUGUGACAGGGUGCGCCCCCUCCUCUUGGGAACUGUGACUAACAGCCCUGAUGAACCUGGACAAGAGUGAGAUUUUAGCCACUCUGGUUUGUGAUGGAAUCCAAGAUUGAUUCAACAUUCUGCGUUCUCACCUCUCCUGCACUGACUGACCCAAUCAGUCACUAUUUGUUUACUUUGUUUUCCAAGCUGGGCUCUAGCACCAUCCUGGUGGAGGAAGCACCUUAGCAGACUGUCCAAUCUGACUACAAACAUGGAGUAGUCUUUCCUUACUGUUGACACACAGCUAUCAAUCCAGCAUAUAAAUGCUGCUACUUUGUAGCCCACUUUACCCUCUCUCCAGGGCAGCAGGGAAAUGAGGGGUUCCAAAGCAGAGGUCCUAGGGACACUAAGUCAGCACACAGUCUUCAGGCUGACCUCCAUCCACUCACACAGAAACACAAUUCUCUCCUUCAACAAUCAUCAUCCUUGUACCAUUUCAAUGGUGUGAUCUAAUCAUGACUCAGCAUGCUGUUUGUCUAUUGUUAUGUAACAAACCACCUCCAAAUUUGGUGGCUUGAACUGAAAAUAGAGUCUCAAAUAUGU